UACGUAGGGGGCAAGCGUUAUCCGGAUUUACUGGGUGUAAAGGGAGCGUAAACGGCAGCGCAAGUCUGGAGUGAAAUGCCGGGGCCCAACCCCGGAACUGCUUUGGAAACUGUGCGGCUCGAGUGCGGGAGAGGUAGGCGGAAUUCCUAGUGUAGCGGUGAAAUGCGUAGAUAUUAGGAAGAACACCAGUGGCGAAGGCGGAUUACUGGACGACAACUGACGGUGAGGCGCGAAAGCGUGGGGAGCAAACAGG
Molecule: ribosomal RNA, 253 nt
Filed under: uncultured Eubacteriales bacterium
Lineage: Bacteria; Bacillati; Bacillota; Clostridia; Eubacteriales
Description: uncultured Clostridiales bacterium partial 16S ribosomal RNA
Rfam family: Bacterial small subunit ribosomal RNA
Source: RNAcentral